CAUUGAAAAUUUCAUCCAUUUGUACUAUUAAAAACUGAGGUAGCUGAUGGAAUAAUCAGAUAAUGAUACGUGGCGUGCCUCAUGUACCUCAUGUUGGUGUACAUGAAUUAGUUUUUAAUAGUAAAAAUUAAUAAAAUUUUUAUA
Gossypium arboreum is the source of this 144-nucleotide non-coding RNA. NCBI's taxonomy places the organism in Eukaryota, Viridiplantae, Streptophyta, Magnoliopsida, Malvales, Malvaceae. The record is from Rfam.